RNAcentral lists this ribosomal RNA (460 nucleotides) under uncultured bacterium. RNAcentral describes it as "partial 16S ribosomal RNA". It matches the Rfam family "Bacterial small subunit ribosomal RNA", at positions 338 to 795 of the family's 1533-position model. The record is from RNAcentral.
CCUACGGGUGGCAGCAGUGAGGAAUAUUGGUCAAUGGACGGAAGUCUGAACCAGCCAAGCCGCGUGCAGGAAGAAGGUUCUGUGAAUUGUAAACUGCUUUUGUAAGGGGGUAAACGCCGGUACGCGUAUCUGUCUGAGAGUAUCGUACGAAUAAGGAUCGGCUAACUCCGUGCCAGCAGCCGCGGUAAUACGGAGGAUUCAAGCGUUAUCCGGAUUUAUUGGGUUUAAAGGGUGCGUAGGCGGUCGGAUAAGUUAGGGGUGAAAGCCCGAGGCUCAACGUCGGAAUUGCCGGUGAUACUGUUAGGCUAGAGAGUAGGUGCGGUAGGCGGAAUGUAUGGUGUAGCGGUGAAAUGCGUAGAGAUCAUACAGAACACCGAUUGCGAAGGCAGCUUACCAAGUUAAUUCUGACGUUGAGGCACGAAAGCGUGGGGAGCAAACAGGAUUAGAUACCCUAGUAGUC